GGCCGCGGGAAUUCGAUUCAGGCCUAACACAUGCAAGUCGAGCGGUAGAGAGAAGCUUGCUUCUCUUGAGAGCGGCGGACGGGUGAGUAAUGCCUAGGAAUCUGCCUGGUAGUGGGGGAUAACGUUCGGAAACGGACGCUAAUACCGCAUACGUCCUACGGGAGAAAGCAGGGGACCUUCGGGCCUUGCGCUAUCAGAUGAGCCUAGGUCGGAUUAGCUAGUUGGUGAGGUCAUGGCUCACCAAGGCGACGAUCCGUAACUGGUCUGAGAGGAUGAUCAGUCACACUGGAACUGAGACACGGUCCAGACUCCUACGGGAGGCAGCAGUGGGGAAUAUUGGACAAUGGGCGAAAGCCUGAUCCAGCAAGGCCGCGUGUGUGAAGAAGGUCUUCGGAUUGUAAUUUAAGGGAGUUGGGAGGAAGGGCAGUUACCUAAUACGUGAUGUUUGA
RNAcentral lists this ribosomal RNA (449 nucleotides) under uncultured bacterium. RNAcentral describes it as "bacterial SSU rRNA". It matches the Rfam family "Bacterial small subunit ribosomal RNA", at positions 39 to 472 of the family's 1533-position model. The record is from RNAcentral.